Non-coding RNA from Saimiri boliviensis boliviensis (Bolivian squirrel monkey), 384 nucleotides. The record is from the annotation of a RefSeq genome assembly. Lineage: Eukaryota; Metazoa; Chordata; Mammalia; Primates; Cebidae.
CUGCUCACAAUGAGUUUCCCUGCUCAGCUCCUGGGGCUGCUAAUGCUCUGGCUCCCUGGAUCCAGUGGGGAUAUUGUGAUGACCCAGACUCCACUCUCCCUGUCCGUUACCCCUGGAGAACCAGCCUCCAUCUCCUGCAGGUCUAGUCAGAGCCUCCUGCAUAGUAAUGGAAACACCUAUUUGCAUUGGUUUCUGCAGAAGCCAGGCCAGUCCCCACAGCGCCUGAUCUAUAGGGUUUCCAACCUGGCCUCUGGAAUCCCAGACAGGUUCAGUGGCAGUGGGUCAGGGACAGAUUUCACACUGAAAAUCAGCAGGGUGGAGGCUGAGGAUAUUGGGGUUUAUUACUGUGUGCAAAGUAUACAAACUCCUCCCACAGUGAUAUAA